UACAUGGGGUGCAAACGUUGCUCGGAAUUACUGGGCGUAAAGCGUGCGCAGGCGGCUUUGCAAGACAGAUGUGAAAUCCCCGGGCUUAACCUGGGAACUGCAUUUGUGACUGCAUGGCUGGAGUGCGGCAGAGGGGGAUGGAAUUCCGCGUGUAGCAGUGAAAUGCGUAGAUAUGCGGAGGAACACCGAUGGCGAAGGCAAUCCCCUGGACCUGUACUGACGCUCAUGCACGAAAGCGUGGGGAGCAAACGAGGAUAGAUACCUUG
RNAcentral lists this ribosomal RNA (266 nucleotides) under uncultured bacterium. Its description in RNAcentral is "partial 16S ribosomal RNA". It matches the Rfam family "Bacterial small subunit ribosomal RNA", at positions 524 to 789 of the family's 1533-position model. The record is from RNAcentral.